GAGAAAGCUGGAAAUCACCCCUUCCAACUGGCAGAAAGCUUUGACUCUCAGCCCUGCAAAGCUUUGAAGUCAUGAUACAUCUACAAGUAAAUCUGUCAUUUCUCCUACCCUUGUCUUGCUAGCCUGAGCCUUGAAGAACAGUUUUCACAAAUUUCUCCUCAGCAAAUAGAGAUGAUCUGCAUUUCAUCAAGACCUGCAGAUCUGCACAGAGAUUCACAAUCCCGUAUUGCACGAGUUCGCAGAGGCUGCAAUCAGUGCUGGGGCUUCUCUCUGGAAGGGAACAGGCAAACACAUUGCAAGCCAUGGACUCUGCCCCCAGGUGAGAGGAAUCCGUCUGCGUUGACAUCCUAUGAUACCACCCCAACAAAGGAGGCAGUGGGAAAGGCUCCCUGGAAAUCCCUCCAGAUUUGGAUCUGACCAAACCCCUCGGUCCUCCAUGCAUGGAAAUCUAGCAAGCCUCGCCUCCAUGUUGUCCCUGCACGGCUCCUACGGGCAUGGUAUGCUCUAGCAAUGCCCAGCUGGCAUAGAUGAAAGCACGUUUCCUGCUGUGGUCUGAAUGAGGCAACGGUCUUGUGGGAAAAGAUAUAACAGUGGAACUGAAGACUGUAUCAUAAUGUAUUCACAGAAGUCAGGGGGAACAAAAAAAAAGAAAAGGAGACUUGACCUUGGCUUGCUGCCUGGUGCUAAAGUAUGUUUUGAUGGGAUGGGAUAGGCUGGAAAGCAAGCUGCCUCCCUGAUGCAAAUAUCUCAUGGAGCUGUAAGAAGUGUGCAGUGCAACCAGCAUGUUCGGGAAGAAGGUUAUGACAAUUCCACCACGAAGGGGCAAACUGGUGUUUUGCAGAGGAUUAUAGCUGGGCCUGCUGGAGGUGAAUUGCCACCAGCAUAAAGCAGCACCUUUUUAUGCCAGUUUUGUAUAUCUGACAAAUGUUAAAAUCCUAGAGACUCUUGAGUAGUUUUAAAGUUUCUCCUAAAAAAAAAAAAAACAAAAACGGUGAAAACAAUUAGUUCUCCCUAGCACAUUCUUUCAGGGGGAAAAAAAAAUCAUGGAAACAUUCUACCAGUUGACGUCUGUCGAAUAAAUCAGCAGCCAGGGCUGCUCUAGCUGGAAAC
RNAcentral lists this long non-coding RNA (1110 nucleotides) under Apteryx owenii (little spotted kiwi). RNAcentral's name for it is "lncRNA (ENSAOWG00000017083.1)". The record is from RNAcentral. Lineage: Eukaryota; Metazoa; Chordata; Aves; Apterygiformes; Apterygidae.